GACGUAGGGCGCGAGCGUUGUCCGGAUUUAUUGGGCGUAAAGAGCUCGUAGGCGGCUUGUCGCGUCGUCCGUGAAAACUUGGGGCUCAACCCCAAGCUUGCGGUCGAUACGGGCAGGCUCGAGUUCGGUAGGGGAGACUGGAAUUCCUGGUGUAGCGGUGAAAUGCGCAGAUAUCAGGAGGAAUACCGAUGGCGAAGGCAGGUCUCUGGGCUGACACUGACGCUCAUGCACGAAAGCGUGGGGAGCAAACAGG
This 253-nucleotide ribosomal RNA is filed under the name uncultured bacterium. RNAcentral describes it as "partial 16S ribosomal RNA". It matches the Rfam family "Bacterial small subunit ribosomal RNA", at positions 524 to 776 of the family's 1533-position model. The record is from RNAcentral.